AACGCGAAGAACCUUACCAGGGCUUGACAUCCUCUGUAAGCUGCAGAAAUGUAGUCCCCAUAGCAAUAUGGCAGAGAGACAGGUGCUGCAUGGCUGUCGUCAGCUCGUGUCGUGAGAUGUUGGGUUAAGUCCCGCAACGAGCGCAACCCUCGUCGUAUGUUGCCAGCAUUAAGUUGGGCACUCAUGCGAGACCGCCGUUGAUAAGACGGAGGAAGGUGGGGAUGACGUCAAGUCAGCAUGGCCCUUACGUCCUGGGCCACACACGUGCUACAAUGGCCGGUACAACGAGCAGCAAGAUCGCAAGAUCAAGCGAAUCUCUUAAAACCGGUCUCAGUUCGGAUUGUAGGCUGCAACUCGCCUACAUGAAGUCGGAAUCGCUAGUAACCGCAGAUCAGCUACGCUGCGGUGAAUACGUUCCCGGGCCUUGUACACACCGCACGA
This 441-nucleotide ribosomal RNA is filed under the name uncultured bacterium. Its description in RNAcentral is "bacterial SSU rRNA". It matches the Rfam family "Bacterial small subunit ribosomal RNA", at positions 958 to 1397 of the family's 1533-position model. The record is from RNAcentral.